GGCAACCUGCUCGGGUCCCCUGCCACACUAUGGAAGCUUUGUUCUUUUGCUCUUUGCAAUAAAUCUUGCUACUGCUUACUCUUUGGGUCCACACUGCCUUCAUGAGCUGUAACACUCACCGGGAAGGUCUGCAACUUCACUCCUGAGCCAGCGAGACCACGAGCCCACUGGAAGGAACAAACUCCCGCACGCCGCCUUUAAGAACUGUAACACUCACAGAGAGGGCCCGCGGCUUCAUUCCCGAAGUCAGUGAGACCAAGAACCAACCAAUUCCGGGCACGUUUCUUUUUCUGCAUCCGCUGCUCUGUUAAGUGAUCACCACAUUCAUUGUUCUCGUUUCUAUUAUUUCUGAAAAAAAUCUUCAGGAUUCUGCUUGUGGGAGUGGAUGACAUUUUUACAGUGUUUACAGACACAAAAUGAACAAGAUGUCUGUGGCAACCCUCAGACCAUUGACGCCUUCUCUCCUAUGUAUCAAAUCACACAUUUGGACGUUGACUGAACCCUCACAUGUCAGAUGCUCAAUAUUGAGGUAUAGUAAAAGGGAGCAUGAACUUGAGAAAAUACGCUUUCAACACAAAGCUGUAAUAAUAUAAGGUCAAAUAAGAUUCUGCAUUGGAGAUAGAAAACUCUGAAGGAAGCUUUAUCUAUUCCAGAAUGUCAUAUAGCUGGUAUAAGAAAGAACACUAAUCAUUCCUAAGGAAGAAAAUUAACAACGCCGUGAGUUAUAAUAUCUGGCUGAAACUGAAGGAGCUCUGUGUAAUUAAAAGUCCUUUCUGCCCUGCCUGGCCAUGGUUCUGUAUGCAUUGAUGUCUUACAAACUGAAAAAAAAAAAAGUUAUUUUCUCAUCUCCAUUCCCUAGCAUAGACAUAUUACAUGAUGUGGAAUUGAAACAAGAAAAUUGCAUUUUAAUCUUCCACUCAGAACAUAGAAGAAUGAAACAAACAAACAAAAAAUACUCUGUUGUCUUAGUCUACCACAAGCAAAAUCUGGCAGUCUCUUUGCUUUGGUAAUGGCAUAAAUUCCUUGAUUAGCCUAUAGGAUAGCCCAUUGUUCUGCUCUUUUAGUGGAAUAGCUAGCAAUUGCUUUGUCAUUUUUUCCCCAUGGUUCCUACCAUUAGUGUUGGGAGGUUUCUUCUUUGUUUUUUUGAGAAAGAGGAAAAAGUUGUUAUAUUUUCAUAAAAACUUAAAUUUCAUCCAAAAUACUUGAUUUUCAUGAAGAAAGUAAAUAUCUCUGCCCCUAGUAUACAUGUGUGGAAACUUUCAGAACCCUGAAGAUAAAUACAUUUCAAACAAGUGAGUUUGAAAAUAUCAAUAGCAAAAUAGGAAGUAAGCUAAUUAGAGAGGUAAGAACUAGAUGGCUUAGCAUUCCAAUAAUAAUAUAUAACCUUCUUUAAGAGUAAAAUCUUGGUCAAAAGACAGAUGAAAACUCCAAUAAAAUUUCACAACUCAUGGAAAAGUCUAUCUUCGUAAUUCUUUAUGAAGCAAACUAUAUAUAUAUAAAACAUAUAUAUAUAUAUAUUUGAGACAGAGUUUCGCUCUUGUUGCCCAGGCUGGAGUGCAGUGGUGCGAUCUUGGCUCAUGGCAGCCUCUGUCUCCCGGGUUCAAGUGAUUCUCCUGACACAGCCUUGUAAGUGGUUGGGAUUACAGGUGUGUGCUAUCAUGCCCGGCUAAUUCUGUAUUUUGAGUAGAGACGGGGGUUUCUCCACGUUGGUCAGGGUGGUCUCGAACUCCCGACCUCAGGUGAUACCCUCGCCUCGACCUCUCAGAAUGCUGGGAUUAGAGGCUUGAGCCACCACGCCUAGCUGCAAACAUAUUUCUUAUAUUUUCCAACAUCACAAAAUUUUACUGAGCUAUGAUAUGUACUAAAAGCUGAUAAAGAUGGUGUUGUUAUAUUUAACAGUACUCUGAAUUUUGUUGCCAUUUCUAAAAUUGUAUUCAGAGGAAAUUAUGCCCAUGUUUCUAUAGAGAGAAUUUUAAAAAAUACAUGAGCAUAGAAAUUUGAGCAACAUUGAUUAAGGUUCCAUAAAAUUGAAGCAGGAAAUAGUAUAGAAUAUACUUUUGCUCACUCUAUUAAAAUAAGUCUCUCAUAAGUAUGCUUCAGUUAAGUUCGAAGGGUAGGAAAAUUAACCUGGAACGGGGCAUUCAGAUAUAAGUAAGUUUAUUUUGGAGAAAUUUCUAUGUCAGCUGAGAUUAUUUUCUAUAAAAACAGAAGAAAGAUGAAUAUCACUAAUGAUAGCACAAACCACUAAUUAGAAGGCAGUAUGUAGAAUUUUUCUGGAAAAAUAAAACUAUAAAUGACAAAUUAAUUUUAGCAGAAAUUGUAAGAAAAUGCAAUGAGGGUAAUAGGAAUGUUAUCUUUGAAUACAAUGGACAGCAAAUUGUAAACUGAAUGUAUUCACUAACACAAAAGAGAAAAUUACUUUUAAUGAUUGCCUAUUGUUUCUCUCUACAUAAAGUUUGAGUUUCAUGUCUGAUGACCUUAUGGCUUUUUAAAUAGACACUUCAUGUGACAUCAUUAAAUUACUUUAUACAGUAUUACUACAUUUCUAUGGUAAAAUUUAAGCAAGAGAUUAAUUUUGAAAGACUUUCAGAGAAAGACUUGUAAAUACAGACAUGAGACAUAAAUCUGAUGUGGGCC
Molecule: long non-coding RNA, 2637 nt
Filed under: Homo sapiens (human)
Lineage: Eukaryota; Metazoa; Chordata; Mammalia; Primates; Hominidae
Description: non-protein coding LINC01608:11
Source: RNAcentral